Molecule: RNA transcript, 2188 nt
Organism: Cercocebus atys (sooty mangabey)
Lineage: Eukaryota; Metazoa; Chordata; Mammalia; Primates; Cercopithecidae
Gene name: glyceraldehyde-3-phosphate dehydrogenase pseudogene
Exons: 4
Source: RefSeq, a predicted model, not a curated record
CUUGCAUUCCCCAGGUAGUUUGAAUGAGUCUCAGCCCAAAUUUGCAAACUCAGUACAGCCAUCCCCUGGGAAGUCACCCUGUCUAAGCCUCCUGUACAAGUCCUAGGAAAAGAACCUGUUUUCCCUGGGGCAUGUGAGCAGUGAAUUAUUGCUCAUUCAGAAUUUCAUGUGUAUGUGUUGCUGAUGGCCAGGUUUAGAGAUACCAACCUAUUUGUUUUUAGAGGAGAGGUGAACUGAUAACAUUCUUUUGAGACAUCACUAUCACUAGGCAGGAAAGGGCUAAUAGUAUGACAGUGUCCUGGGGACAAUAAACUGCAAACUACAAAAGCACCUGGUCUGUGGCCCUGACCAGCAUCUCUCCAUAUCCUGAUUCUGCAGGAACAGCUGAGGACCACCUAUCCUAGAUGGCUGCUGUUAUUGUUCAAAGGAACCUCUUUAGAGCCUCAAGCCCAGGAAUAGUCCAUGGCAGGCACCUGGUAGGAAAGGAUUAAUAGAGUUAGUGUGACAGUGUCCUGUGGACAGCAUAGAAACCGCCCCAACCUCCACCCUCCCGCAAGCUGCAUAAGUACCUGGUUUGUGGCCUUUGCCAGCCUCUCUUCAUAUCCCGAUUCUGCAGGAACAGGUGCUUGAACAUUAGGAGAAGGGGCUGAAUCUUUGGGUGGGGUUUCAUGAAGGGCACACCGUUAUUGGGAUGCUAGCAUUUGCCAUUCAUGACACUGGCAUUUGGGUAUCAUGAAACACAGGAAAGUUUUUCCAACCCCCACCGUAUUGACUGUUGGGAUCUACUAAUCCAUUAGAAGAGAAGACUCAAAUCCAUCACUUACUGACCCGUUGGACUUAAGUUCCCUCCUCGUUGUCAUAGCCAAGCACCACCUGUCCUAGAUGGCUCCUGUUUUGUUCAGAGGAACAUCUCUAGAGCUGCAGGCCCAGGAAUAGCCCUUGGCAGGCACCUGACAGCUGCAUCUUCUCUUGCAUUUCCGGCCGCAUCUCUGAGACACCAUGGGGAAGGUGAAGGUCGGAGUCAAUGGAUUUGGUCAUAUUGGGUGCCUGGUCAGCAGGGCUGCGUUUAACUCUGGUAAAGUGGAUAUUGUUGCCAUCAAUGACCCCUUCAUUGGCCUCAACUACAUGGUCUACAUGUUCCAGUAUGAUUCCACCCAUGGCAAAUUCCAUGGCACCAUCAAGGCUGAGAACGGGAAGCUUGUCAUUAAAUGGAAAUCCCAUCACCAUCUUCUAGGAGCGAGAUCCCUCCAAAAUCAAGUGUGGUGAUGCUGGCACUGAGUAUGUCGUGGAGUCCACUGGCAUCUUCACCACCAUGGAGAAGGCUGGGGUUCACUUGCAGGGGGAAGCCAAAAGGGUCAUCAUCUCUGCCCCCUCUGCUGAUGCCCCCAUGUUCGUGAUGGGCAUGAACCAUGAGAAGUAUGACAACAGCCUCAAGAUCGUCAGCAAUGCCUUCUGCACCACCAACUGCUUAGCACCCCUUGUCAAGGUCAUCCAGGACAACUUUGGUAUUGUGGAAGGACUCAUGACCACAGUUCACGUCAUCAGUGCCACCCAGAAGACUGUGGAUGGCCCCUCCGGGAAACUGUGGCGUGACAGCCGCGGGGUUCUCCAGAACAUCGUUCCUGCCUCUACUGAUGCUGCCAAGGCUGUGGGAAAGGUCAUCCCUGAGCUGAACGGGAAGCUCACUGGCAUGGCCUUCCAUGUCCCCACUGCCAACGUGUCAGUGGUGGACCUGACUUGCUGUCUGGAAAAACCUGCCAAAUAUGAUGACAUCAAGAAGGUGGUGAAGCAGGUGUCGGAGGGCCCCCUCAAGGGCAUCCUGGGCUAAACUGAGCACCAGGUGGUCUCCUCCGACUUCAACAGCGACACUCACUCUUCCACCUUUGAUGCUGGGGCCAGCAUUGCCCUCAAUGAACACUUUGCCAAGCUCAUUUCCUGGUAUAACAAUGAAUUUGGCUACAGCAACAGGGUGGUGGACUUCAUGGCCCACAUGGCCUGCAAGGAGUAAGACCCCUGGACCACCAGCCCCAGUGAGAGCGCAAGAGGAAGAGAGAGACCCUCACUGCUGGGGAGUCCCUCACUGCUGGGGGACACUCAGUCCCCCACCAUACUGAAUCUCCCCUCCUCACAGUUUCCAUGCAGACCACUUGAAGAGGGAGGGGCCUAGGGAGCCCCACCUUGUCGUGUA